This is a long non-coding RNA of Anas platyrhynchos (mallard), 1121 nucleotides long. RefSeq lists it as uncharacterized. The record is from RefSeq and is a predicted model, not a curated record. Lineage: Eukaryota; Metazoa; Chordata; Aves; Anseriformes; Anatidae.
UUGCAAUUGAUCACUUUCAAUUCUAGCUUCUCUGAUAAUUCAGAGAUUUCUUUCUAGGGCAGAAAGCUAAACAUGGGACCUUUGUUUUUUGGAUCAAGCCACCAACAUGGUGAUCUCCACCAAUGGCCAGGCUCUAACUCAUGUGCCAGCGACAAGUUCACUCGGACAAGGCUUCAGAUGCUGCCGCUUAAACGCUGUGACACGUCCCGGCUGCUAGGACUAUUCAGCUGAUGUCCAACCAGUUUGGAGAAUCAAUGCGCUGCUAUGAGUCAAUUAAGCACCCAAAUGAUACUUACCAGAAUGGUGGAAAAUACGACGCCAAGUAUCAGCCGAUGGGUUAGUGAUUUGUUUCUUUACAACUAGUGCCAGGCUACGUUAAGUUCCAUGCUUGAAUACAAUGGAGGGAUUAUUGGUUUACAAGCCGCAUAGGGUCGGAUACUUUAUAUUACGCUUUGCAGAAACGCAAUUCUAUCCUUUUCCAAAGGGUAAAACGCAAGGAGAUAUCAUUACCUGAUACCGAUGUUUGAAAUCGCUUUUCUUCCCAUCUUUUCUGUCUUGGGAGAGAUGACGGGAGCUCCUGUCCCUAGUCCUGCUAGCUGUUGGCACCAGCGGAGAUUUCUCAGGCAACUCUGGCCGUCUGAACUCAGUUCAAAGCCCCACAGGUUUCAGCGCACAACGAGGGAAGCUGGAUCAGAAGCUCAGGUCAGAACGGCAGAGGAAGCAGUUCCUGUUGAUUAAGGUGGUAGUUGCUUUAGGAUUGAAGACAUCACUCUGGAAAGUUUACCGCAGUGGCAGUUAAUUAAAAAUAAGUAAAUAAUAACAUUAGUUGACUCUUCCUAUCUACGCAUCUUACUCAGCUAAAGAAAUCCGGUCACUGAAUUAGUCAGUGGUGGUACAGGAACACACAUCUCCAUUGUCGCAGAGCAGGCUAAAGGUUUUAAUAAUCACUGCUUUUAACGUCCUUCUUCAAUGCCGGAGACUUUUUAACUCGUUUUUCCAAAAGGCAAGGAAAUUCCUUGCAUUUUUCUUUCGCUGUUUCCCUGCAGAAUCACAUCUAUGCGAGUUCUGUGGCAAACUGGCCGGAACAAGUGUUGCCACGGCCAACUCUCCACAUAUUUUAU